RNAcentral lists this ribosomal RNA (253 nucleotides) under uncultured bacterium. RNAcentral's name for it is "partial 16S ribosomal RNA". It matches the Rfam family "Bacterial small subunit ribosomal RNA", at positions 524 to 776 of the family's 1533-position model. The record is from RNAcentral.
UACGGAGGGUGCAAGCGUUAUCCGGAUUCACUGGGUUUAAAGGGUGCGUAGGUGGGUCUGUAAGUCAGUGGUGAAAUCUUCGAGCUUAACUCGGAAACUGCCAUUGAUACUAUAGGUCUUGAAUUUUCUGGAGGUAAGCGGAAUAUGUCAUGUAGCGGUGAAAUGCUUAGAUAUGACAUAGAACACCAAUUGCGAAGGCAGCUUACUACGGGAACAUUGACACUGAGGCACGAAAGCGUGGGGAUCAAGCAGG